GCAGACUCAUUCCAGCCAAUCAGCAGCAGACCCUCCCUCCCAGACCCUCCCACCUCCUCUCCUGGACAGCAUCCAUUGUGAAGCUGCAUUCUUAGUGAGCUGCCCAGGAGUUGGGAAGGUCUGGGAGGGAGGGUCUGCUGCUGAUUGGCUUGAAUGUGUCU
Molecule: non-coding RNA, 161 nt
Organism: Pelobates cultripes (western spadefoot toad)
Lineage: Eukaryota; Metazoa; Chordata; Amphibia; Anura; Pelobatidae
Source: the annotation of a GenBank genome assembly